Molecule: ribosomal RNA, 464 nt
Filed under: uncultured bacterium
Lineage: Bacteria
Description: partial 16S ribosomal RNA
Rfam family: Bacterial small subunit ribosomal RNA
Source: RNAcentral
CUACGGGAGGCUGCAGUGAGGAAUUUUGCGCAAUGGGGGAAACCCUGACGCAGCAACGCCGCGUGAGCGAAGAAGGCCUUCGGGUCGUAAAGCUCUGUCAAGUGGGAAAAAAAUUCUUUGAUGAACAGUCAAAGGACUUGAUGGUACCACUGGAGGAAGCACCGGCGAACUCCGUGCCAGCAGCCGCGGUAAUACGGAGGGUGCAAGCGUUGUUCGGAAUUACUGGGCGUAAAGAGCGUGUAGGCGGUUUGACAAGUCAGAUGUGAAAGCCCCGGGCUCAACCCGGGAAGUGCAUUUGAAACUGUUUCACUAGAGUAUGGGAGAGGAGAUUAGAAUUCCUGGUGUGGAGGUGAAAUUCGUAGAUAUCAGGAGGAACACCCGUGGCGAAGGCGAUUCUCUGGACCAAUGCUGACGCUGAGACGCGAAAGCGUGGGGAGCAAACAGGAUUAGAUACCCGAGUAGUC